This 469-nucleotide ribosomal RNA is filed under the name uncultured bacterium. Its description in RNAcentral is "bacterial SSU rRNA". It matches the Rfam family "Bacterial small subunit ribosomal RNA", at positions 28 to 507 of the family's 1533-position model. The record is from RNAcentral.
GAUGAACGUUGGCGGCGUGCCUAAUACAUGCAAGUCGGACGAGGAACCUGGUAUUCGUAUCGGGAGCUCCUAGUGGCGAACGGGUGAGUAACGCGUUGGUGACCUGCCCCAAAGAGAGGGACAACAGUUCGAAAGGACUGCUAAUACCUCAUGUUGUCACGAGAGUUAGAGGUCUCGUGUCUAAAGGAGUAAUCCGCUUUGGGAGGGGCCUGCGUCCCAUCAGCUAGUUGGUAGGGUAACGGCCUACCAAGGCUACGACGGGUAGGGGACCUGAGAGGGUGGUCCCCCACAAUGGAACUGAAACACGGUCCAUACACCUACGGGUGGCAGCAGUAGGGAAUAUUGCCCAAUGGACGAAAGUCUGAGGCAGCAACGCCGCGUGCGCGAUGAAGGCCUUCGGGUUGUAAAGCGCUUUUGUGAGGGAAGAGAAAGGACGGUACCUCACGAAUAAGGAUCGGCUAACUACGUG